Molecule: ribosomal RNA, 810 nt
Filed under: bacterium enrichment culture
Lineage: Bacteria
Description: bacterial SSU rRNA
Rfam family: Bacterial small subunit ribosomal RNA
Source: RNAcentral
AUUAGGGAAGAACACCCAGUGGGGAAGGGCGAUUCUUUUGGACUGUAACUGACACUGAGGCACGAAAAGCGUGGGUAGCAAACAGGAUUAGAUACCCUGGUAGUCCACGCCGUAAACGAUGAGUACUAGGUGUAGGAGGUAUCGAUCCCUUCUGUGCCGCAGCAAACGCAAUAAGUACUCCGCCUGGGAAGUACGAUCGCAAGAUUAAAACUCAAAGGAAUUGACGGGGGCCCGCACAAGCAGCGGAGCAUGUGGUUUAAUUCGAAGCAACGCGAAGAACCUUACCUGGACUUGACAUCCCUUGCAUAACCUAGAGAUAGGCGAAGCCCUUCGGGGCAAGGAGACAGGUGGUGCAUGGUUGUCGUCAGCUCGUGUCGUGAGAUGUUAGGUUAAGUCCUGCAACGAGCGCAACCCUUAUUGUUAGUUGCUAACACGCAAUGGUGAGCACUCUAACGAGACUGCCGCGGUUAACGCGGAGGAAGGUGGGGAUGACGUCAAAUCAUCAUGCCCCUUAUGUCCAGGGCGACACACGUGCUACAAUGGGUAUAACAGAGAGAUGCAAUACCGCGAGGUGGAGCCAAACUCAAAAACUACUCUCAGUUCGGAUUGUAGGCUGAAACUCGCCUACAUGAAGCUGGAGUUGCUAGUAAUCGCGAAUCAGAAUGUCGCGGUGAAUACGUUCCCGGGCCUUGUACACACCGCCCGUCACACCAUGAGAGCUGGCAACACCCGAAGUCCGUAGUCUAACGUAAGAGGACGCGGCCGAAGGUGGGGUUAGUGAUUGGGGUGAAGUCGUAACAAGGUAACCGU